UGAGGAAUAUUGGUCAAUGGGAGAGAUCCUGAACCAGCCAAGCCGCGUGAGGGAAGACGGCACUACGUGUUGUAAACCUCUUUUGCCGGGGAACAAAAGCGGGGACGCGUCCCCGUCUGCGUGUACCCGGAGAAAAAGCAUCGGCUAACUCCGUGCC
This 157-nucleotide ribosomal RNA is filed under the name uncultured bacterium. RNAcentral describes it as "partial 16S ribosomal RNA". It matches the Rfam family "Bacterial small subunit ribosomal RNA", at positions 355 to 509 of the family's 1533-position model. The record is from RNAcentral.